AUCCAGUUGAAGAGUCCCAAAUAGGACGAAAUGCGCAUCCUGGAU
Molecule: non-coding RNA, 45 nt
Filed under: Trichobilharzia regenti
Lineage: Eukaryota; Metazoa; Platyhelminthes; Trematoda; Strigeidida; Schistosomatidae
Source: RNAcentral